UGUAAGUUCGACGAGCACGGAAAGGAAGACACAUAGACGGGCUUUUAUUUGGGGCUCAAUGGCCCAGAAGCGGGCAGGAUAAACACGACCUGAGUUCCUCAGCUGGGUGACUUAUCUGCAGGAAAUUGACCCCUCAAGCAAGUACAGAUGGUAGAAACUGAAGUGGUGAUUUUAUACAAACACUGUUGUUUUUUAAUAGCACAUGUGAUUCUGUUUGCAAAAGCUAAACCGUGAAUAAGUGAGAUUCUAGAUCCUGUCACCUCUAAUACUUUUCAGAGGUACCAGAUUUACAGCAGCUCUGGCAACAGAAAUAGGUGCAAUAAAGAAUGUCAGUAAGGAGAAGAAAGAUUUACCUGAGGUAAUUGGAUAAGAGUUAAUAAAAGGUGAAAGAAGAUUAAGGAGCACGUGUGUGAGGAAGAAAUUUCUGGAAUGGAAAUAACUGAGCUGAGACCCGAAAAGAAAAAUCAAAAGUAGAAGAAUUUGACUUUGUAUAAUUAUAUACCUGAA
Non-coding RNA from Odocoileus virginianus texanus, 507 nucleotides. NCBI's taxonomy places the organism in Eukaryota, Metazoa, Chordata, Mammalia, Artiodactyla, Cervidae. The record is from RefSeq and is a predicted model, not a curated record.